Molecule: RNA transcript, 3911 nt
Organism: Portunus trituberculatus (swimming crab)
Lineage: Eukaryota; Metazoa; Arthropoda; Malacostraca; Decapoda; Portunidae
Gene: Kap3
Gene name: kinesin-associated protein 3-like
Exons: 17
Source: RefSeq, a predicted model, not a curated record
GACGAGAGAAUUUAAAAAGCGCGGGGAGGGCAGAUGCGAUCAUGCGAAUCAAAACAGCUAUGGAAGACUGAAAACCAUGCAGGCUGAGGACGCUAGGUACUUGAAAAAGAAGGUGAAGGUAGGGUCGCUAGAUGUGCACCCUACUGAGAAAGCACUGGUGGUUAACUAUGAGCUGGAGGCAACCAUCCUCGGCCAGUUGGGCGAUGCCAUGCUCGGGGACAAGAAGGAAUGUCAGAAGAUCAUCCGUCUGAAGAGUUUAGACAGCAACACAGAUGUGGCAGUGCUGGCAAGGGAGGUGGUGGACAAGUGCAAGCUUAUCCAUCCAUCGAAGCUGGGGGAAGUACAGCACCUCAUCAGUUACCUUCUGUCUCGGAAAGAAUGCAGCAAAGAUGGUCAAGUUUCCUUGAACCACCCUGAUCCUGGGGAGCCUAAGGAACAGGCCAACCUGAAUGAGCUGGAUUCAUACAUGGAGAUGCUGUACGAGGACAUGCCAGACAAGGUCCGGGGUGCAUCAUUCAUCUUGCAGCUGGCCAGGAACCCCGACUACCUGGAGGAGUUGUGCCAGAAUGAGACAGUGCUGGGAGCCUUGGCACGUGUACUACGAGAGGACUGGAAGAAAAGUCUGGACCUCAGCUACAAUAUUGUCUACAUAUUCUUCUGCUUUUCUGUGUUCUCUAACUUCCACAGCGUCAUCUCUCAUUUCAAGAUUGGCUCCCUCUGCAUGGAUAUAAUUGAUGGGGAGCUGCAGCGCACUGACCAGUAUCGGGAGCAGCUCACCAAGAGAAAGAAGGGAGGGGAGCUUGGUGCAGAUCCUGCCAAACUCCAACAGGACUAUGAACGCAACUUGAAGAAAUAUCAGGCAGUUAUUGAGAAGCAGGAUCAGGUGCUGCGGGUGUGUACAUAUCUGCUGCUCAACAUCGCGGAAGAUGUGCGUGUGGAGGAGAAGAUGCGACGGAAGAACAUUGUGGGUCUUCUGGUGCGGAUGCAAGAGAGAGAGUCACCUGACCUACUCCUCCUGGUGGUGUCAUUCCUGAAGAAGCUGUCUUGCUAUAUGGAGAACAAGGAUGAUAUGGCUGACCUCAACAUUGUAGAGAAGGUGAGCCGCCUUGUAUCUACUGACAAUAGUGACUUGCUCAACGUUACCAUACGGCUGCUGCUAAAUCUAUCUUUUGAUUCUGGCUUGAGGGCAAAAAUGAUCAAGGUUGGACUUCUUCCCAAGCUAGUGUCUCUUAUGUCAGAGGAGCGACAUCAGCAGGCAGUGUUGGCUGUUCUCUACCACCUCAGUGUGGAUGACAAGUGCAAGUCCAUGUUCACAUACACAGAUUGCAUUCCAACAGUUAUGAAGUUGGUGUUGAAUUCCCCUGAGCCUAUGGUGCCCCUGGAGCUGAUGGCUCUGGCAGUGAAUCUUGCUGCCAACAAACGUAAUGCCCAGCUGAUCUGUGAGGGCGCUGGCCUGAAGCUUUUGAUGAAACGAGUUCUCAAGUACCGUGACCCUCUCCUUACCAAGAUGAUCCGCAACAUUGCCCAGCAUGAAGGACCCACUAGGGUGCUUUUUACUGAAUUUGUUGGAGAUCUGUGUGAAGUAGUGAGUGGUGGUGAGAGUGAUGAGUUUGUUCUGGAGUGUGUUGGGGUGCUGGGUAACCUCUCUCUACCUGAUCUUGACUAUUGUCAAUUGCUUACCAAGCACAACCUCAUUGAUUGGAUCAAAGACAGCCUUCAGCCAGAUGCAGUGGAAGAUGACUUGGCCCUCGAAGUUGUUGUAUUGUUGGGCACAGUGGCUGGGGACCAGGCAGCAGCUCAGCUCAUUGUAAAUACAGGGAUACUUCAUUCCCUAGUCAACCUCCUUAAUGCAAAGCAAGAGGAUGAUGAGAUGGUGCUGCAGAUUGUUUAUGUGUUCUACCAGCUUACCCGACAUGAGGCAACUCGGCCCCAGGUCAUCUCAACCACUGAAGUCCCUGCCUACUUGAUUGACCUCAUGCAUGAUAAGAACACAGAGAUUCGCAGAGUCUGUGACACCACACUGGACAUCAUCUCUGAAAAUGAUAAUGAGUGGGCAGUGCGGAUCCAGUGUCAUAAGUUCCGAUGGUACAACAGUCAGUGGCUGGACAUGGUGGAGGAGGCAGAAAAUAUUGACACCAUGGGUGGAGAGGAGAUGGCAGGUGGAGAAGGACUGGGCCACUCCUUCCUCCACCACUCCGAUGUUUUGGACCACCAGGGACUGUAUUCAGAUGGCUUGUCCUCCCCGGAGAGUGAAGAGUACCCUGGCAUUAAUGGUCACAGUGAAACUUCCCGUCCCUCUUCUAAUUACACUAACCGAACUGGCCCAGGGUAACAAAAACCUACAAACAAAAAGGUCCCUUUAGAUGCUACGUCCCCAAACAAGGCUGAGAGAAUUGCCCAAAAGGUCUUGAGUAGAUAGAUGGAAGUACAAAAGCAGAUUUAGUGCUGACCUGGAGCAGUUUGCUGAUGAGCUACUGAAGAAAGCUGGUGUAUAAUGGUGUCUGGUGCAAAUAUCUUCAUUUUCAUCUAACCUAUGAGGAGUCUAGUCACUUUAGCUGUAAUCCUUUCACAUUCCUUGGCUCUGACAGAGUCUCACUGUAAUUGAUUUAAGCAUGCAUUGCCUUUUACAGUAUCUGUGUUUUAAUUAAUUUAAGAUCAUAAGUAUGACAGGUAAUAUGCAAUAUGAUCUUAUGGAAUCUUGUAUAUUUGUGAAAACAUUAAUUGAAAAAACAAAAUUAUGUGUGUACCAUUUUGUUUGAAUUUAAAGAUCUAAGGUCACAUCAAGCUUGGAUCGUAUACUCUUUUUAAUUUUAACCCCUUCCCAGCAGCAGGGCAGAUGAGUGUUCAACCAAAUAAAAAAUUGUCUAUAUAUAUAGACUCUACUAACUUUCAUCGAUACGUCUAUAUAUAGUUUCCCUACAAAUGGGUACUCCAGAUUGACAUCUAUAUAUAAACUCUGCCACAAAACUGAACAAUUGAAUCUAUAUAUAGACUCUGCUGCAAAACUGAACAAGUGACAUCUAUAUGUAGACUCUGCCAUAAAACUGAACACACAAUUGAAUCUAUAUAUAAGUGUUAUUUGUAUGUGAUUGGUUAUAAUGUAUGUCAGUAUAUUUGUAUGAAUGUUUGGGUUAUUCAUAUCCAGGACUUGUGACCUGGAUGUAAUUUACUUCCACUUUUCUUCAUAUUUUUCACAUACAUACUUGUUUUGUACCUAUUCAUAUUUUUUUGGCAGUGGUGCUGGUGUGUGGUACAGUUCUUUCUCCUUGACAUGAUAGAUUAAUGAUAAAAGAAAGUUGAAAAAAUGCAAAAUUUUCCAGUAUUAGGUUAUAUGCAUAGCACAUCCACCAUCAACAAAGCACAAGAGGUGACUGGCCUUGAGAGGCCAUGUUGACCAGCGUUUGGGUAUUUGAGAUGCUAAAUAAUGAUUUAUUUUAUUAAUUUUGUUAAUUGUAAGGAAACAUCUAUAUAUAGAUCAUGCUACAUCUUAGUGCAGUAAAAUAAGAACAAAUGUCUAUAUAUAGACAAUAUGACAAAAGUCCCAUUUUUUUAAACAUCUAUAUAUAGAUACUCCGCCAGUAAGAGGUUAAUGUAAUAUGAUCAAGAAGUCCAGUGCAGGCUUCUGACAGCACUGUCUCUGUAUGUGGUGUGGCACUCUUGGCUACAGCAUUUAUGAACCACCAUAGUUAACAUAGCAGAAGGAACUACACAGUUUAUAUAAUACUAGGAUCUCUGUAUGUGGUGUGGCACUCUUGGCUACAGCAUUUAUGAACCACCAUAGUUAACAUAGCAGAAGGAACUACACAGUUUAUAUAAUACUUAGGAUCUCUGAUUUGGGUGAGUUAAAAUCAAAAUCUGCCCACUGCAAAGAUGUCAAGAUUAUAACAUUAAAUAAAUAAACUUUAAAUUAA